UACGGAGGGUGCAAGCGUUAAUCGGAAUCACUGGGCGUAAAGCGCACGUAGGCGGUGCCGUAAGUCGGAUGUGAAAGCCCUCGGCUCAACCGGGGAACUGCAUUCGAUACUGCGGUGCUUGAGUGUCGGAGAGGGUGGCGGAAUUCCAGGUGUAGGAGUGAAAUCCGUAGAUAUCUGGAGGAACACCAGUGGCGAAGGCGGCCACCUGGCCGACAACUGACGCUGAGGUGCGAAAGCGUGGGGAUCAAACAGGAUUAGAUACCCUGGUAGUCCACGCUGUAAACGAUGGAUGCUAGGUGUCGGGGGUUUACCCUCGGUGCCGCAGUUAACGCGUUAAGCAUCCCGCCUGGGGAGUACGGUCGCAAGGCUGAA
Molecule: ribosomal RNA, 372 nt
Filed under: uncultured bacterium
Lineage: Bacteria
Description: bacterial SSU rRNA
Rfam family: Bacterial small subunit ribosomal RNA
Source: RNAcentral